Molecule: long non-coding RNA, 356 nt
Organism: Chroicocephalus ridibundus (black-headed gull)
Lineage: Eukaryota; Metazoa; Chordata; Aves; Charadriiformes; Laridae
Exons: 3
Source: RefSeq, a predicted model, not a curated record
AGUUGUAGAAAUAGAAAGGCGGGUGCAAAAAGGAAGAGGAUGCUCAUGGACGUGCUGCCAUCGGCCAUCCUUCCAGCCAUCGGUCCCUUGCCUUGGCUCAAGCGAAGCUACUGUUGGAGAGCUUCCAGAAAACCUGGGAAGAACUAGCCCCUGCGAGUGCACACCUGUGUAGUUGUCUCCUCUCCAACCAAGGAGGUUGGCUGGACCCUGCUUUUUGAAAGCUCUUCCCAAAAGUGGCCACCAGCCAUGGAAAAACCUCAUGUGGAUUACGGUUUUUGAACACCCGGGUCAAGUCCUUCAGGAUGCAUAUUGGGCAUACAUAUCCCUUUCUUCUUUUUAACAACAGCUGUCUUCCU